UACGUAGGGUGCGAGCGUUAAUCGGAAUUACUGGGCGUAAAGCGUGCGCAGGCGGUUUCGUAAGACAGACGUGAAAUCCCCGGGCUCAACCUGGGAACUGCGUUUGUGACUGCGAGGCUAGAGUACGGCAGAGGGGGGUAGAAUUCCACGUGUAGCAGUGAAAUGCGUAGAGAUGUGGAGGAAUACCGAUGGCGAAGGCAGCCCCCUGGGUUAGUACUGACGCUCAUGCACGAAAGCGUGGGGAGCAAACAGGAUUAGAUACCCUGGUAGUCCACGCCCUAAACGAUGUCAACUAGGUGUUGGAAGGGUUAAACCUUUUAGUACCGCAGCUAACGCGUGAAGUUGACCGCCUGGGGAGUACGGCCGCAAGGUUAAA
RNAcentral lists this ribosomal RNA (376 nucleotides) under uncultured bacterium. RNAcentral's name for it is "bacterial SSU rRNA". It matches the Rfam family "Bacterial small subunit ribosomal RNA", at positions 524 to 898 of the family's 1533-position model. RNAcentral also lists the same sequence under 1 other name. The record is from RNAcentral.